CAGUAGCCGCGGGAAUACGUAGGUGGCAAGCGUUGUCCGGAAUUAUUGGGCGUAAAGGGCUCGCAGGCGGUUUCUUAAGUCUGAUGUGAAAGCCCCCGGCUCAACCGGGGAGGGUCAUUGGAAACUGGGAAACUUGAGUGCAGAAGAGGAGAGUGGAAAUCCACGUGUAGCGGUGAAAUGCGUAGAGAUGUGGAGGAACACCAGUGGCGAAGGCGACUCUCUGGUCCGUAACUGACGCUGAGGAGCGAAAGCGUGGGGAGCGAACAGGAUUAGAUACCCCUGUAGUCCCUGUCUCUUAUAC
This 301-nucleotide ribosomal RNA is filed under the name uncultured bacterium. RNAcentral describes it as "partial 16S ribosomal RNA". It matches the Rfam family "Bacterial small subunit ribosomal RNA", at positions 509 to 807 of the family's 1533-position model. The record is from RNAcentral.